GUGAGGAAUUUUCCGCAAUGGGCGAAAGCCUGACGGAGCAAUGCCGCGUGAAGGAUGAAGGCCUAUGGGUUGUAAACUUCUUUUCUCAGAAAAGAAUUAUGACGGUAUCUGAGGAAUAAGCAUCGGCUAACUCUGUGCCAGCAGCCGCGGUAAGACAGAGGAUGCGAGCGUUAUCCGGAAUGAUUGGGCGUAAAGCGUCUGUAGGUUGUUUAAAAAGUAUUCUGUCAAAGAUUAGGGCUUAACCCUAGAUAGGCAGAAUAAACUUUUAAGCUAGAGUUUGGUAGAGGCAGAGGGAAUUCCCGGUGGAGCGGUGAAAUGCGUAGAUAUCGGGAGGAACACCAAAGGCGAAGGCACUCUGCUGGGCCAAUACUAACACUGAGAGACGAAAGCGAGGGGAGCAAAUGGGAUUAGAUACCCCGGUAGUCC
Molecule: ribosomal RNA, 426 nt
Filed under: uncultured bacterium
Lineage: Bacteria
Description: partial 16S ribosomal RNA
Rfam family: Bacterial small subunit ribosomal RNA
Source: RNAcentral